AUUGAACGCUGGCGGCAGGCUUAACACAUGCAAGUCGAGCGGGGGAAGGUAGCUUGCUACUGGACCUAGCGGCGGACGGGUGAGUAAUGCUUAGGAAUCUGCCUAUUAGCGGGGGACAACAUCCCGAAAGGGAUGCUAAUACCGCAUACGACCUACGGGAGAAAGCAGGGGAUCUUCGGACCUUGCGCUAAUAGAUGAGCCUAAGUCGGAUUAGCUAGGUGGUGGGGUAAAGGCCUACCAAGGCGACGAUCUGUAGCGGGUCUGAGAGGAUGAUCCGCCACACUGGGACUGAGACACGGCCCAGACUCCGACGGGAGGCAGCAGUGGGGAAUAUUGGACAAUGGGGGGAACCCUGAUCCAGCCAUGCCGCGUGUGUGAAGAAGGCCUUAUGGUUGUAAGGCACUUUAAGCGAGGAGGAGGCUACUUUAGUUAAUACCUAGAGAUAGUGGACGUUACUCGCAGAAUAAGCACCGGCUAACUCUGUGCCAGCAGCCGCGGUAA
This 501-nucleotide ribosomal RNA is filed under the name uncultured bacterium. Its description in RNAcentral is "partial 16S ribosomal RNA". It matches the Rfam family "Bacterial small subunit ribosomal RNA", at positions 30 to 523 of the family's 1533-position model. The record is from RNAcentral.